UCAUGUGAUAUGAUUCUACUACUGCUGGUACUAGUGAAUUUGACCAAUACCAUUGGAACUAUGCUAGUCCGUUUAUAUAGGGCCACCCUGUAUUAUGUACAUUAUUUUUUACGUGCAAUGCUGUACAGUUCAUUUUAGUGUAGCAAAAGCACCAUGGCAAGUGACUCCAAUUUGGAAUAAUAAUCAUUUUAGGCUAAUCGCCUCUCAUCACGUUGAUAUUAUGUAUUCACAAUUUAGAUGUGCCGCAUGAGAAUCCAAAUGCCAAAUCAACUCCGAAAGAAUCUGCAUCGUCCAAAGGCAAAGCUGAACCAACUGAUGUUGGACGGGGAACAUCCAAAUCAUCUCAGCUCCCCGAAGAGCUGACGAGAAGCGGGCAUCAUCUUGAAACAAUAGGUUCAACAUCACCUGAGCCUGCAGACACAAAGGAUAGAAGUAGUCCUACUGA
Strongylocentrotus purpuratus (purple sea urchin) is the source of this 445-nucleotide long non-coding RNA. RefSeq lists it as uncharacterized. The transcript is spliced from 3 exons. The record is from RefSeq and is a predicted model, not a curated record. NCBI's taxonomy places the organism in Eukaryota, Metazoa, Echinodermata, Echinoidea, Camarodonta, Strongylocentrotidae.